AUACGUAGGGGACAAGCGUUAUCCGGAUUUACUGGGUGUAAAGGGAGGGCAGACGGCAGUGCAAGUCUGAAGUGGAAGCCCGGGGCUCAACCCCGGGCCUGCUUUGGAAACUGUUCUGCUCGAGUACUGGAAGGGCAAGCGGAAUUCCUGGUGAACCGGGGAAAUGCGUAGAUAUCAGGAGGAACACCGGUGGCGAAGGCGGCUUGCUGGACAGCAACUGACGUUGAGGCUCGAGAGCGUGGGGAGCAAACAGGAUUAGAUACCCUGGUAGUCCACGCUGUAAACGAUGAAUACUAGGUGUUGGGAGACUAAGUCUUUCAGUGCCGUCGCAAACGCAGUAAGUAUUCCACCUGGGGAGUACGUUCGCAAGAAUGAAACUCAAAUGAAUUGACGGGG
RNAcentral lists this ribosomal RNA (396 nucleotides) under uncultured bacterium. Its description in RNAcentral is "partial 16S ribosomal RNA". It matches the Rfam family "Bacterial small subunit ribosomal RNA", at positions 523 to 918 of the family's 1533-position model. The record is from RNAcentral.